Molecule: non-coding RNA, 148 nt
Filed under: Pongo abelii (Sumatran orangutan)
Lineage: Eukaryota; Metazoa; Chordata; Mammalia; Primates; Hominidae
Source: Rfam by way of RNAcentral
GCCGGGUGUGGUGGCGCGUGCCUGUAAUCUCAGCUACUUGGGAGGCCGAGGCAGAAGAAUCGCUUGAACCCAGGAGUUGGAGGUUGCAGUGAGCCAAGAUGGCGUCACUGCCUUCCAGCCUGGGCCACAGAACGAGACUCUGUUUCAA